AUAAGCUAUGGUGCCUCACAUCAAAAAGGCUCUCGCUUCUUACAUAAAGUCAUAGGGUACUCUAUCACCUUAAUGUAGCCUUUUGCUUUAAUAACACUGAUAGGUCAUAGCUUGGCCUAAGGUUACAAAAGCACCUUUCUACAACAUAGAAUUCAAAAGUUUAAAUUAUUAAGAACUUUCCUCACCCAAACAACAAAAAUUGAUUCUUUACCCAUCUGCAGAGAAAGUGAUCUGAAUCAAUGAUUCUUGUUAUCCCAUUUCUCAUGUUAACUAAAAUCCACAAGAUCAUAAAAAGGACAUGGAUAGCACAAGGCACCCAAAUUUUAAAAAGAAAUACAUACAUGACCAGAAAGAGAAAGGGACAGAAAGAGGACAAGUGAAGAAAAUAAUCAGAUAAACCCAAAUCAUUGUACUAGCAUGACACAACUCUACAUAUAUUUCCAAACUAAAACAUGAGAAGUUUGUAACUCAAUUCCAUUAAUUCAAGAAGGAUAUUCAAUUUGCUUAAGGCAGGCACUCCACAAAGAUUAUCUCUAAAGUACUUCUACAAUGUCAUCAACUAAUGUCAAUUCCCAGAAAAUACAUCAUCAAUUCAAUUGACAAAUGCAUACAUCGAGAUUUUUAAGAAGAAAUGGGCAAAUGUUGAGUUCCAAUUAGGAAUAAAAGGGGGGAACCCACAAAACAAAACUCUCUAGGAGUAAAAUUACUUAGCAAUAACAAAAUGAAAAAGUAAGCAUCGCCAAAAUCUAAUUUACUCCUGAAACAAUGUGUUAGCUGCAUUCAUGUAAAUUUUUUUUUCGUGAAAAUAUAAGGUUUCAAACCUUCCUUGUUGGCCUCACUAACUGUUAAAUAAAUUUCUAACUCAAACUUAGCCAUCAUAAGUUACACAUAACCAGAUUCAAGUUCAGAUGACACUAGAGCACUUCUAAAAUAGUAGCACAACCAUUAAAUCAAUGUAUCUGAGCACAAAAACAAGCUUAUAAAGAAAAUAUAAAUGCUUUGAAGGCAAAAGGUGCAUACCGAAGUAGAAAUUGUCUUCUUGCCAUUGGUUGCACGGAUGAGACACCUAUAUUCAACGGGUUUACCAGCAGUUGCCAUUUUAUUCCUCUGCACCUUAGACUUCAAGGAUGAUCGUUUGAGAGUGACCCAAACAGUUCCCUUCUCAGUGCUUUGUUCAAACAUGCUUGUGAGUUCAUUAAGAAACGGGUCUGGCUGUAAAAGAACCAUGAUUGAGCGUUGGAUUGAGAUCCGUCGAGAAAGUAGAAUCCCAAGCGGCAAGCUUCCCUCUCCAACUCUCAAGUGAGUACGUCAACGAGUUGAGAGAGAGAGAGAGAGACCAGCGUUGCUCUAUUGCUUGUAGCGGCAGAAAAA
This 1371-nucleotide unclassified non-coding RNA is filed under the name Hevea brasiliensis (rubber tree). The record is from RNAcentral. Lineage: Eukaryota; Viridiplantae; Streptophyta; Magnoliopsida; Malpighiales; Euphorbiaceae.